RNAcentral lists this ribosomal RNA (253 nucleotides) under uncultured bacterium. RNAcentral's name for it is "partial 16S ribosomal RNA". It matches the Rfam family "Bacterial small subunit ribosomal RNA", at positions 524 to 776 of the family's 1533-position model. The record is from RNAcentral.
GACGCAGGAUGCAAGCGUUAUCCGGAUUCAUUGGGUUUAAAGGGAGCGUAGGUGGCCUUAUAAGUCAGUGGUGAAAUCUCUGGGCUUAACCCAGAAAUUGCCAUUGAUACUGUAGGGCUUGAGUAUAGAUGCCGUUGGCGGAAUAUGACAUGUAGUGGUGAAAUACAUAGAGAUGUCAUAGAACACCGAUUGCGAAGGCAGCUAACGAAACUAUAACUGACACUGAGGCUCGAAAGUGUGGGGAUCAAACAGG